This 253-nucleotide ribosomal RNA is filed under the name uncultured bacterium. Its description in RNAcentral is "partial 16S ribosomal RNA". It matches the Rfam family "Bacterial small subunit ribosomal RNA", at positions 524 to 776 of the family's 1533-position model. The record is from RNAcentral.
UACGGGGGGAGCAAGCGUUGUUCGGAUUUACUGGGCGUAAAGGGCGCGUAGGCGGCGUAACAAGUCACUUGUGAAAUCUCCGGGCUUAACUCGGAGCGGUCAAGUGAUACUGUUGUGCUAGAGUGCGGAAGGGGCUACUGGAAUUCUCGGUGUAGCGGUGAAAUGCGUAGAUAUCGAGAGGAACACCUGCGGCGAAGGCGGGUUGCUGGGCUGACACUGACGCUGAGGCGCGAAAGCUAGGGGAGCGAACGGG